RNAcentral lists this ribosomal RNA (498 nucleotides) under uncultured bacterium. Its description in RNAcentral is "partial 16S ribosomal RNA". It matches the Rfam family "Bacterial small subunit ribosomal RNA", at positions 30 to 523 of the family's 1533-position model. The record is from RNAcentral.
AUUGAACGCUGGCGGCAUGCUUUACACAUGCAAGUCGAACGGCAGCGCGGGGCAACCUGGCGGCGAGUGGCGAACGGGUGAGUAAUAUAUCGGAACGUACCCAAGAGUGGGGGAUAACGUAGCGAAAGUUACGCUAAUACCGCAUACGAUCUAAGGAUGAAAGUGGGGGAUCGCAAGACCUCAUGCUCCUGGAGCGGCCGAUAUCUGAUUAGCUAGUUGGUGAGGUAAAGGCUCACCAAGGCGACGAUCAGUAGCUGGUCUGAGAGGACGACCAGCCACACUGGGACUGAGACACGGCCCAGACUCCUACGGGAGGCAGCAGUGGGGAAUUUUGGACAAUGGGCGCAAGCCUGAUCCAGCCAUGCCGCGUGUGGGAAGAAGGCCUUCGGGUUGUAAACCACUUUUGUCAGGGAAGAAACGGUCUGGUCUAAUAAACCGGACUAAUGACGGUACCUGAAGAAUAAGCACCGGCUAACUACGUGCCAGCCGCCGCCGUAA